RNAcentral lists this long non-coding RNA (1351 nucleotides) under Malus domestica (apple). RNAcentral describes it as "long non-coding RNA (MDOM_LNC014315)". The record is from RNAcentral. Lineage: Eukaryota; Viridiplantae; Streptophyta; Magnoliopsida; Rosales; Rosaceae.
GCCGGAGGAUUUGACGCACGUGCACAUCUGGACAAAAGGAUUAGGAACUUCGACGGUUGACCUGCCGCACGUGACGACAAUCCCCGCACCGAAACGCAGCGCUUAACUCCACAAGAAGAAGGAGCCAGAAGCAGGACGGCGUGAAGAAGGCCGUUCGGCCCACCCAAAACCGACGCAUUACUUGGUGAUUUAGUUUUAGGCUGUUUUUUAUCGGCCAAAGUUCAACGUUAUUAAACAAGGUUAAACUGAUCUAAUUACGAUUAAACAAUUGGCGGGAAGGAUUAAACAAUUGGAGGGCAGGAUUAAGCAGUUGGAGGGUGAGGUUGUCAAAGCCACCCACUUUGGACUCUUGUAACUGGAAACAUGUACACAAAAAUGGAGACAAAUAAAAACUUGUAUAUUUUUCAAUUAAUAAAAUCACCCGUUGAUGUCUUCAUCACGGUAAUCUACUUUUCUGGAGCAGGAAAGAGUUAUAAAGUCAUUUCAACUUUCUUUUUAUUAUCAUUGUGUCAUUCGCCAACGCCAGUACUAGAGUAUGGUAGUUGAGAUAAUAGCGUCAAGAUGCUAUUGUCUAAUUAUAAACUAUAAAAAAAUUAUGGUGUUCAGAAGUAUAAAAUAUUUUGAGUUUUUAACUCUUAAAUUUUGAUUUUUGUGUUGUUGACUAAAGAUCUAAACGGUUAAAAACUUUGCAAAAUAUCUAAUAUUUUGUAGCAAAAAAUUCUCAUACAUUAUCAAGAAUUCGACUUUUAUACAUAGUAUCGGCAAUGUUGUCAAUCACGUAUGUCAUGUGUUUAACGUUUAUACGUAGCAAUAUGUUAUUUAAUUAAAAUAGAUAAGUGAUUUUUGCACAUUCACUCUCUCAUUUUACAUUAUUGUUUUAUUAAACAUAUAAUUGAUGCUUUUGUAUAGUUGUUUGGGCCAAGUUUAGAGUUGUUCUCAGCCCAGAGGCCGUACUUAGGAGUCGUUGGGGGUCAUCUGGUUUAUGGGCCACGUAGCCAAGGCCGACCGUGUCCUAUUAGGAAUCCAUGGGUGGUUGAAUUCUGAUAUGAGAAGGAGUUUCGACAGGAUAAGGAUGUUGAAGUUUGGGAUUGAAUGCGGCCUGAUAAGGGGGUUGGGUUCAAAGUCCUAGUAGGAGUAGGACUGGCCGAGAUAAGGUUGGAUCGGGGGAAUGAGUUAUAAUCCGAGUAUGGUUAUGAUUCGAUUGGAAGUAAGAUGACUAUUAUAAAUAGAGGGAUGAUGACACCAUUAAGGCUCCUCCAAUUCAACACACAAACUGCCCUGCGCAAACCUUCGCUUUAGCGAAACCUCUCAACAACCUUGAGAUUUUUAUUUUCCUUUUCAACCGACACAU